CUUAAGUGGGGAAUAACGCAUCGAAAGAUGUGCUAAUACCGCAUAAUCUCUAAGGAGGAAAGCAGGGGAUCGUAAGACCUUGCGCUUUUGGAGCGGCCGAUGUCUGAUUAGCUAGUUGGUGGGGUAAAAGCCUACCAAGGCGACGAUCAGUAGUUGGUCUGAGAGGACGACCAGCCACACUGGGACUGAGACACGGCCCAGACUCCUACGGGAGGCAGCAGUGGGGAAUUUUGGACAAUGGGCGAAAGCCUGAUCCAGCCAUGCCGCGUGAGUGAAGAAGGCCUUCGGGUUGUAAAGCUCUUUCAGUCGGGAAGAAAAGGUUGCGACUAAUAAUCGCAAUUCAUGACGGUACCGAAAGAAGAAGCACCGGCUAACUACGUGCCAGCAGCCGCGGUAAUACGUAGGGUGCGAGCGUUAAUCGGAAUUACUGGGCGUAAAGGGUGCGCAGGCGGCUUUGUAAGUCAGAUGUGAAAUCCCCGGGCUUAACCUGGGAACUGCGUUUGAAACUACAAAGCUAG
This 518-nucleotide ribosomal RNA is filed under the name uncultured bacterium. RNAcentral's name for it is "bacterial SSU rRNA". It matches the Rfam family "Bacterial small subunit ribosomal RNA", at positions 131 to 644 of the family's 1533-position model. The record is from RNAcentral.